This 472-nucleotide ribosomal RNA is filed under the name uncultured bacterium. Its description in RNAcentral is "partial 16S ribosomal RNA". It matches the Rfam family "Bacterial small subunit ribosomal RNA", at positions 28 to 507 of the family's 1533-position model. The record is from RNAcentral.
GACGAACGCUGGCGGCGUGCUUAACACAUGCAAGUCGAACGCUGAAGCCUGGUGUUUGCACUGGGUGGAUGAGAGGCGAACGGGUGAGUAAUAUGUGAUCAACCUGACCUUGACUCUGGGAUAAGCCUGGGAAACUGUGUCUAAUACUGGAUAUGACAUGCCACUGGAUGGUGGUGUGGGGAAAGGGGUUUGCUGGUUUUGGAUGGGCCCACGGCGUAUCAGCUUGUUGGGGGGGUAAAGGCCUACCAAGGCGACGAGGGGUCGCCGGCCUGGGAGGGUGGGCGGCCCCGCCACGACUGGAACGCGGCCCAGCCUCCUCCGGGAGGCAGCGGUGGAGAUUGUUGCACAGGGGGCGGAAGCCUGAUGCGGCGACGCCGCGUGGGGGAUGACGGCCUUCGGGUAGUAUUCCUCUUUCAGCGCGGAAGAAGCGAGAGUGACGGUACGGGCAGAAGAAGCGCCGGCUAACUACGUG